AUUGAACGCUGGCGGCAUGCCUUACACAUGCAAGUCGAACGGCAGCACGGGUGCUUGCACCUGUUGGCGAGUGGCGAACGGGUGAGUAAUACAUCGGAACAUGUCCUGUAGUGGGGGAUAGCCCGGCGAAAGCCGGAUUAAUACCGCAUACGAUCUACGGAUGAAAGCGGGGGACCUUCGGGCCUCGCGCUAUAGGGUUGGCCGAUGGCUGAUUAGCUAGUUGGUGGGGUAAAGGCCUACCAAGGCGACGAUCAGUAGCUGGUCUGAGAGGACGACCAGCCACACUGGGACUGAGACACGGCCCAGACUCCUACGGGAGGCAGCAGUAGGGAAUUUUGGACAAUGGGCGAAAGCCUGAUCCAGCAAUGCCGCGUGUGUGAAGAAGGCCUUCGGGUUGUAAAGCCCUUUUGUCCGGAAAGAAAUCCUUGGACCUAAUACGGUCGGGGGAUGACGGUACCGGAAGAAUAAGCACCGGCUAACUACGUG
This 486-nucleotide ribosomal RNA is filed under the name uncultured bacterium. Its description in RNAcentral is "partial 16S ribosomal RNA". It matches the Rfam family "Bacterial small subunit ribosomal RNA", at positions 30 to 507 of the family's 1533-position model. The record is from RNAcentral.